This 433-nucleotide ribosomal RNA is filed under the name uncultured bacterium. RNAcentral's name for it is "partial 16S ribosomal RNA". It matches the Rfam family "Bacterial small subunit ribosomal RNA", at positions 29 to 507 of the family's 1533-position model. The record is from RNAcentral.
AACGAACGCUGGCGGCAUGCCUAACACAUGCAAGUCGAACGAGACCUUCGGGUCUAGUGGCGCACGGGUGCGUAACGCGUGGGAACCUGCCCUUAGGUUCGGAAUAACUCCCCGAAAGGGGUGCUAAUACCGGAUAAUGUCUUCGGACCAAAGAUUUAUCGCCUUUGGAUGGGCCCGCGUUGGAUUAGCUAGUUGGUAGGGUAAAAGCCUACCAAGGCGACGAUCCAUAGCUGGUCUGAGAGGAUGAUCAGCCACACUGGGACUGAGACACGGCCCAGACUCCUACGGGAGGCAGCAGUGGGGAAUAUUGGACAAUGGGGGAAAGCCUGAUCCAGCAAGGCCGCGUGAGUGAUGAAGGCCUUAGGGUUGUAAAGCUCUUUUACCCGGGAUGAUAAUGACAGUACCGGGAGAAUAAGCGCCGGCUAACUCCGUG